AGAACGAACGCUGGCGGCAUGCCUAAUACAUGCAAGUCGAACGAACACUUCGGUGUUAGUGGCGCACGGGUGCGUAACGCGUGGGAAUCUGCCCUUGGGUUCGGAAUAACAGUUGGAAACGACUGCUAAUACCGGAUGAUGACGAAAGUCCAAAGAUUUAUCGCCCAGGGAUGAGCCCGCGUAGGAUUAGCUAGUUGGUGAGGUAAAGGCUCGACCAAGGCGACGAUCCUUAGCUGGUCUGAGAGGAUGAUCAGCCACACUGGGACUGAGACACGGCCCAGACUCCUACGGGAGCAGCAGUAGGGAAUAUGGACAAGUGGGCGCAAGCCUGACUCCAGCAAGUCGCCGCGUGAGUGAUGAAGGUCCGUUAGGGUUAGUAAAGCUUACUUUACCGAGACUUGAA
This 403-nucleotide ribosomal RNA is filed under the name uncultured soil bacterium. Its description in RNAcentral is "bacterial SSU rRNA". It matches the Rfam family "Bacterial small subunit ribosomal RNA", at positions 26 to 451 of the family's 1533-position model. The record is from RNAcentral.